GAGAGUGGCGAACUGGUGAGUAACACGUAGGUGACCUGCCUCGAAGACGGGGAUAACCAUCGGAAACGGUGCGCUAAUACCCGAUACAUUCGGCAAUUCAGUUUGUCGAGUAAAGCUCCGGCGCUUCGAGAUGGACCUGCGGCCUAUCAGCUAUUGGUACGGUAAUGGCCUACCAUGCGAAGACGGGUAGGGGGCGUGAGAGCGUGGUCCCCCAACUGGCACUGAGAUACGGGCCAGACUCCUGCGGGAGGCAGCAGUCGGGGAUAUUUGGCAAUCAAGAUUCCCAGCGAAAACGCUGGAUGCAGCGACGCCGCGUGGGCGAUGAAGGCCUUCGGGUUGUAAAGCCCUUUUAUGGGGGAAGAGAAAAAGGACGGUACCCCAAGAAUAAGUCCCGGCUAACUACGUGCCAGCAGCCGCGGUAAAACGUAGGGGACAAGCGUUAUCCGGAUUUACUGGUGCGUAAAGAGCGUUGAGGCGGUUCCGUAAGUUGGGCGUUAAAGCCCCGGGCUCAACUCGGGGAGGUCGUUCAAAUACCUGGCUGAACUUGAGGGCAUGCAGAGGGGAGGCCGGAAUUCCCGGUGUAGCGCUGAAAUGCGUAGAUAUCGGGAGGAACACCAGUGGCGAAGGCGGCCUCCUGGGCUGCUCCGGACGCAGAAGGCGAAAGCUAGGGGAGCGAACGGGAUUAGAAACCCCGGUAGUCCUAGCCGUAAACGAUGGAUGCUGGCUCUGGGGGGUAUAGAUUCCCUCCGUGCCGAAGCUAACGCGUUAAGCAUCCCGCCUGGGGACUACGGCCGCAAGGCUAAAACUCAAACGAAUUGACGGGUCCCCGUACAAGCAGCGGAGCGUGUGGUUUAAUUCGAUGCUACACGAAGAACCUUACCUGGGUUUGACAUGCAAGUAGUAGUGAAGCGAAAGCGGAACGACCCUUCGGGGAGCUUGCACAGGUGCAUGCAUGGCUGUCGUCAGCUCGUGCCGUGAGGUCUCGGGUUAAGUCCCGUUACGAGCGCAACCCUUGCCCUUAGUUAUACGUGUCUAAGGGGCCUGCCCGGGACAACUGGGAGGAAGUUGGGGAUGACGUCAAGUCAGCAUGGCCUUUAUAUCCAGGGCGACACACACGCUACAAUGGCCGGUACAAUGGGUUGCCAAGCCGUGAGGCGGAGCCAAUCCCGCAAAGCCGGUCUAAGUUCGGAUUGUGGCCUGCAACUCGCCCACAUGAAGCUGGAGUUGCUAGUAACCGCGCGUCAGCCAUAGUGCGGUGAAUACGUUCCCGGGGAUUGU
Molecule: ribosomal RNA, 1278 nt
Filed under: uncultured organism
Description: bacterial SSU rRNA
Rfam family: Bacterial small subunit ribosomal RNA
Source: RNAcentral